This 21-nucleotide non-coding RNA is filed under the name Arabidopsis thaliana (thale cress). Lineage: Eukaryota; Viridiplantae; Streptophyta; Magnoliopsida; Brassicales; Brassicaceae. The record is from RNAcentral.
UUACAUGCCCACAUAUAUCAA